UUUCUGCGGCGUGCCUAAUACAUGCAGUCGAGCGAAUCGAUGGGAGCUUGCUCCCUGAGAUUAGCGGCGGACGGGUGAGUAACACGUGGGCAACCUGCCUAUAAGACUGGGAUAACUUCGGGAAACCGGAGCUAAUACCGGAUACGUUCUUUUCUCGCAUGAGAGAAGAUGGAAAGACGGUUUACGCUGUCACUUAUAGAUGGGCCCGCGGCGCAUUAGCUAGUUGGUGAGGUAAUGGCUCACCAAGGCGACGAUGCGUAGCCGACCUGAGAGGGUGAUCGGCCACACUGGGACUGAGACACGGCCCAGACUCCUACGGGAGGCAGCAGUAGGGAAUCUUCCGCAAUGGACGAAAGUCUGACGGAGCAACGCCGCGUGAACGAAGAAGGCCUUCGGGUCGUAAAGUUCUGUUGUUAGGGAAGAACAAGUACCAGAGUAACUGCUGGUACCUUGACGGUACCUAACCAGAAAGCCACGGCUAACUACGUGCCAGCAGCCGCGGUAAUACGUAGGUGGCAAGCGUUGUCCGGAAUUAUUGGGCGUAAAGCGCGCGCAGGUGGUUCCUUAAGUCUGAUGUGAAAGCCCACGGCUCACCCGUGGAGGGUCAUUGCAAACUGGGGAACUUGAGUGCAGAAGAGGAAAGUGGAAUUCCAAGUGUAGCGGUGAAAUGCGUAGAGAUUUGGAGGAACACCAGUGGCGAAGGCGACUUUCUGGUCUGUAACUGACACUGAGGCGCGAAAGCGUGGGGAGCAAACAGGAUUAGAUACCCUGUAGUCCACGCCGUAAACGAUGAGUGCUAAGU
This 802-nucleotide ribosomal RNA is filed under the name uncultured bacterium. RNAcentral's name for it is "bacterial SSU rRNA". It matches the Rfam family "Bacterial small subunit ribosomal RNA", at positions 36 to 821 of the family's 1533-position model. The record is from RNAcentral.